RNAcentral lists this ribosomal RNA (445 nucleotides) under uncultured bacterium. Its description in RNAcentral is "bacterial SSU rRNA". It matches the Rfam family "Bacterial small subunit ribosomal RNA", at positions 338 to 795 of the family's 1533-position model. The record is from RNAcentral.
CCUACGGGUGGCUGCAGUGGGGAAUAUUGCACAAUGGGCGGAAGCCUGAUGCAGCAACGCCGCGUGCGGGAUGACGGCCUUCGGGUUGUAAACCGCUUUCGCCUGUGACGAAGCGUGAGUGACGGUAAUGGGUAAAGAAGCACCGGCUAACUACGUGCCAGCAGCCGCGGUGAUACGUAGGGUGCGAGCGUUGUCCGGAUUUAUUGGGCGUAAAGGGCUCGUAGGUGGUUGAUCGCGUCGGAAGUGUAAUCUUGGGGCUUAACCCUGAGCGUGCUUUCGAUACGGGUUGACUUGAGGAAGGUAGGGGAGAAUGGAAUUCCUGGUGGAGCGGUGGAAUGCGCAGAUAUCAGGAGGAACACCAGUGGCGAAGGCGGUUCUCUGGGCCUUUCCUGACGCUGAGGAGCGAAAGCGUGGGGAGCGAACAGGAUUAGAUACCCGUGUAGUC